AAGGAAGGGGGCCAAAGCCCACUCUCACCUGGAGCUAUGGGCCAAACUAAACCAAUUCCCCAUCUAGCUUUGGAGAAGAUGGGGAAGAGAAACCCAGAGAGGCAAAGUGAUGUGCCCAACACCACACACCUGGUAAUGAGCAGAAUGGAGACAGAGAUGCCAAGUGCUGCCAUCGCCGUGGAUACGCGCUGUCACCCCGGCCCCAGCCUGUCUCCCUCCACAGCUUCCAAAACUCCCAGCAGGCAGGCAGACGGGGAGGCUGCCCAGUUACUGCCAGGGAGGGCAGAGGAGGGGAAGGACGGGGUGGGAGAGGUUCAAUGCUAUACACACACACACACACACACACACACACUCUCUCUCUCUCUCUCUCUCUCUCUCUCUGGGCCUCAACCAGAGAGGGAGAGACUCAGAAAGACAGCCGGGCAGACAGAUAAAGAGAAAGGAACGGUCACAGACCACUCACUGCCCACACAGCUCAGAUAUGCCCACUCCCAGAUUCGCACACCACUUUCCCAAUUCAGACACACUACUCAGGGAGUCAAGACUCUCCCAGAUUUACAAGAAUAUACAAAUAACACACAUAUACACAAAUCACACGCACACGUUCCAAAAUUCUAGCAUACACAACUCAGAAUAUGCACAUUCCCAGAUUCACAAGGAUAAAUCCAACUUUCAGAUAUACACUCAGAUUCACACACAAGUACAGAUGCAAUGCAGAUCACACAACUCCUAGAUCCACAGAUAUACAAGCCUUGAUGCACAAAUAUACACACAUGCAGACUCCCACCCCGCCCCCUCAAGACAGACAGACAAACAGACACAUAUUCAACACACAGAUUCAUAGAUACCACAUGCCCUGAGUCAUAAGCACACACACCACCUAGCUUCCCACAUCCCAGACCAACAGACUAGACCCAUACAGCCUCAUCUAGCAGCUGACACUGCCUUGGGCUUUAGUGGGCAGGUGGACUGGUUGGGGGGAUUCCUGGGUCUUUGAGGGGGCCAGCCCUUUCUCAUUGCCUGUAGCCUGGGAGGUGGGCUCAGAGUUGGGGGGAAUGAAGGGGAAAGUAAGAGAAAGGGAAAAAAAAAAAAAACUUGAGUGGGAUAUUCUUGUUGGGCAGUAGCGCGUGAGUAACUGGGGAGGCUUUUUGUGGUCUGGUGAGUUCCAGCUAUGAGUGAGAGUUUAACUAUUAAUACACUUAAUCAAGGACACUUCACACACACAGGCACACAUAUACAGGCUAAGACAGCACCAGGUGGUGGGGAUCAGGGAGGGAGAGCACCAGAAUAAAGGGGGGGGAAAGCCCCAAUUCGGGUCCCAGGGGGUGAGGAAAGAGGGAGGAGCUUCUGCUCUGGGCCUGCCUCCAGAGUAGGGGCAGAGUCAGUGAUUCAUUUUAGCAGCUCCAGAAAGGUGGCACUGGACACACAGUAGGUGCUCAAAAAUACAUACUGGGGCAAUGAAUGAAUAAGUUAUUUACAUACGGGAUGCCUGGGUGGCUCAGUGGUUAAGCAGCUGCCUUUGGCUCGG
Long non-coding RNA from Canis lupus familiaris (dog), 1528 nucleotides. RefSeq lists it as uncharacterized. The record is from RefSeq and is a predicted model, not a curated record. Lineage: Eukaryota; Metazoa; Chordata; Mammalia; Carnivora; Canidae. The transcript is spliced from 3 exons.